This 253-nucleotide ribosomal RNA is filed under the name uncultured bacterium. RNAcentral's name for it is "partial 16S ribosomal RNA". It matches the Rfam family "Bacterial small subunit ribosomal RNA", at positions 524 to 776 of the family's 1533-position model. The record is from RNAcentral.
UACGUAGGUGGCAAGCGUUGUCCGGAUUUACUGGGCGUAAAGGGCGCGUAGGCGGCGCGGAUAGUCGGCGGUGAAAGCCCGGAGCUCAACUCCGGGUCGGCCGUCGAUACUUCCGGGCUUGAGCACUGUAGAGGCAGAUGGAAUUCCGGGUGUAGCGGUGGAAUGCGUAGAGAUCCGGAAGAACACCGGUGGCGAAGGCGGUCUGCUGGGCAGUUGCUGACGCUGAUGCGCGACAGCGUGGGGAGCAAACAGG